RNAcentral lists this unclassified non-coding RNA (2303 nucleotides) under Hevea brasiliensis (rubber tree). Lineage: Eukaryota; Viridiplantae; Streptophyta; Magnoliopsida; Malpighiales; Euphorbiaceae. The record is from RNAcentral.
CAGACCAAGUAUGUGCAUAUAUAUCACUGCUUCCUGAGCCUGAUCAAAGAGAGGUUCCUGGUCCCAAUCCUGAAAUCCUGAAACCUGCAGAAAGAUGCAUGAUCCAUUCAUUUCAAAAAACACUUACUGCUUCGGAUGUAAGCAAGCAUGGUAGUUUAUUUAUUUAUCAAAAGCAUGCAGAGGAAUGUCUACCACCAUUGGUCAGUAUCUAAACUAAAUUAUUGUUUCCAUCCAUGCUGUGUAUCGAAUGUGGUUACUUCUUUCUUGUUGAUGAGUAUGUUUUUGUUCAGGAUAUGUCGCAAGAGCCACCUUGUCAACAAUUGGUUGCAAAAGAUCUGCAUGGAAAACAGUGGCAUUUCCAACAUAUUUAUAGGGGUAAUCCUAAGCGUCACUUACUCACAACUGGGUGGGGUGAGUUUGUUGGUUCAAAAAAGCUAGCAAAAGCAACACGCAGUGUGUUAAUAUUCUUAAGGGAAGAAAAUGGGGAGCUUCGGAUUGGAGUAAGGAAGCCUAUGGGUCAAGAGACAGAUGUUGUUAAACAUGGGGAAAGCAUAUGUUCUGGGAUUCUUUCUAAUGCCUACCAUGCCAUGAUGACUAGAAAUCACUUUUAUGUCAUCUACAGACCUAGAACAACUGGGUCUCAGUUCAUUGUGAGUGUCAACAUGUACCGUGAAGCUCAGAAGCCCAACUUAUUUAAUGGGAUGAGGUUCAUGAUGAAAUUUGAGGGUGAGGAAGGUUGUGAAAAGAGCUUCAAUGGUAGAAUUGUUCAUUUUCAAGAUAAUAUAUCAUCAAGAUGGCCAGAUUCUGAGUGGCGAUCCAUAAAGGUUCAAUGGGAUAAACCUUGUCCACCCUUCCUUCCAGAAAGAGUGUCACCGUGGGAAUUGGAACUGUCUUCCCAACCGAAGCAAAGGAAGAAGCGGGCGCAAGUUGGCUUUAUUGGGGAUGCUUCUCAACUAAAACGUACUAAAGGUAAGGGGAAAUUUAAGGAGAUAUGUUCCACUGUUUAUGAAAAAGGGGAGUGUAGCAAUGUAAUUCAAGGAAAUUUCAUUGCUCAGAGCACUAGAGCUCACGUCAGUGAGCGAGAUGGAACUGAGAAGGAAGGUGAGACUGAGAUGAACAUUUGUGUUGCUAAUGCCCAUGGCGAUGUCAUUCCACAAGAAAAUAGUGGUCCAACAGAAAAAAAUGGUCACAGAGAUGGUAUUGGUGUCAUAGACGAUGAAACUAAUGUUCAGUGUCAAGAUAAAGAGUAUGAUGGCAUUUUGGAUGAAUCCUUGACUGACAUAGAAAAGCGUGGCCCUACGACUCCUGCUUCAGCUGAAUAUCCAAUUCUUCCUGAGAUUCAUACUCUUGAUGUUUUGCCUAGUGACUCCCCUGUUUUUCCCACAUCUCAAGGAGAGAGAGUCGAAUAUUCUCGUCAAUACUCUUUAGAUGAUUGUUAUGAAGAUUUUUAUGGUUUUCAAGUACUACAAACUCAUGUCUCUGACUUACAGCGGAUUUAUUGCAUUGAGGGAAAAUUUUGGGAGAACUCCAGGUUUCAGAGAGCAUAUUUAAUAUCAGCAGUGCUAGAGGGACUUGGUUUGGCAUUGUCCUUGAAGGAUAGAACUUGGAAGUCAUUGAGUCCUGAUGAGUUACAGACCAUAAUACAAGGCAUUGAGGAUGCUUUGAAUGCUGGAUUCAAGGUUGGUUGCCUAAAUCCUGUGGCAGAGAAGGCCAGGGCAGCGCUGGGCUCUUUUGACACUCGUUGCCGGUGUAAGGCAUUGGAGAAGGAAAAAAGUUCUCUUAAAACACGACUUCAGAAUGUAACAUGUGAGUUGCAAAAUCUUGGUAUAGAGCUUAGAUCUAGUACAGAAAGACUUGACUUGGAAUCUAAAUGUUCAGCUGGAAUCUUUGAUUAGUGUCCUUGAAGAGUUCAUCUUCUUUUGUAUGCCAAGAGCCUGCACAUACAGGGAGUUUUGCUGGGAGUGGAAGGGUGAAUAGCAUCAUGAAACUCUUUGGUUGUUUAUUACCACUAGGCCUGGCUAAGGCUGGUUCCGCAUCGAAAUCAACCAUUCUUGGCCUUUGGUGGGCUUGAAUUGGAAUCCGUACUUGAGUAUUUGGUUCGAAUUGGUUCUGGUUCAUUCAUGGUUUCAGGUUGGUUUUGAAACAAUUUUAAGUCCUGUUUGGUUUAACUGUUAGAUAUAACUAAUACCGAUAACCAAUAGCUAUUAAUAACUAAUAGCUAAUAAUUGAUUAGAGGUUAUUUAUGUUUGUUUAGUAAAUUAUGUAUAGCGGUUGCUGUUGAUAUGGAAAAUUACUAAUAAGCA